Molecule: long non-coding RNA, 8117 nt
Filed under: Volvox carteri
Lineage: Eukaryota; Viridiplantae; Chlorophyta; Chlorophyceae; Chlamydomonadales; Volvocaceae
Description: long non-coding RNA (VCAR_LNC000985)
Source: RNAcentral
GUUGACGCGCCGUUGAUCCGCUAGAUUUGGUUGGAUGCUGGUGGUGAGUUGCCAAACUCAAAGAGUACACUCUGAAGUCGGAUGGGGUGAAUGGCUUAGGGUGCCCCUCUAGCAGGGGAGAGCAGGGAAUUGCCUCGGGAAGGAGGCCACUGGUGAAGCUUAACCACCCUGUAACAACAUCAACUCCCCAUAAUCAAUCCCCUCGCGUUGCUCGAAACCCUUGGCAACUAAACGCGCCUUAAAACGCUCCACGCUGCCGUCAUCGCUGUACUUAACCUUAUAUACCCAACGACACGGCAACAAACGAGUACCAGGAGGUGGCUUCUUCAACUCCCAAGUACUAUUAGCCAUCUGGGCGGCGAUCUCCUCGUCCAUCGCACGCCGCCAGUCGUCUGCAUGUGCACUCGCAAUGGCUUCCGCAAAAGAAUUCGGUUCGGGAAUAUCAGUAGAGAAAGCAGCGUUAACGCGACCAGUAACAGUGCGACCAGGUUCAUUUCGCCACCAUUCGCCAGGGCGUUUACGCUCUCUAACUGGGUACCUAGUUCCCGCCAUUUCCACAUCAGGCUGAUUGAUUCCUUGCCCGUUCGCACUGCUGGAAGGUCCAGCCCCAGCCGGCGCCCCCUCGCCACCCAAAUGCGGCGAUCCCUCGCCGACGGUGCUACCUGGUGUCCCUUCGCCAGCCCUAGGCAGCGAUCCCUCACCAGAUAAACUAGUGCGAAACUCCCCUCUUCGUGGGCAUCGACUUAUAUCGGAGUCCCCGGCAUUACGCCGCCGCCGGACAUUAAGAUUCAUCGAAACGAACGUUAGAAACUAUGGCAAUAAUGCCGUCCACGUAUAGCACACGAUAUUGUCUUCCGUUCCCGUAUCCAACAAGUAUUCCAGGCCUGCUCACCGGGUCGAACUUGUCGCGCUUGACGUCGGGUACGUGGACGUAGGCAACGCAUCCUAAGACUCGCAUGUGACUGACGUUCGGACGAACAUUAAAGAAAGCUUCGUACGGAGUGACGGUUGACCCAGCAGUUGGCGACACAUUCCUAAGAUAGUUGGCUGUCGCUAACGCCUCUGCCCAUAAUGAUUUAGGCAGUCCAGAUUCAACGAGCAUAGCCCUAGUCUUGUCCAAAAGAGUGCGAUUUAAACGUUCCGCAGCUCCGUUCUGCUCAGGGGUGUAGCCUACCGUGUACAAUACCCCUGGAAGCGAAAUAGCCCUUCGUGCGAGUAUUAACGAACUCCCCGCCACGAUCUGUACGCACCUCCUUAACCUGCCUGCCAGUAGCGCGCUCCAGUUCCGCUAUCAUUACCACCAUCUUCUGGUAGACCUCCUCCUUGGUCGCUGUAAACGCAACAGCUGAAAGACCAGUAUGAUCGUCAAGCAGAGUUGUCACGUAACGCGAACCACUAGGCGAAGGUUCAGGCAUAGGUCCACACACAUCCAUGUGAAUGAGUGCGAGAGGCUGCGCUGCCUUAUGCCCAGUUAGCGGAAAAGGACCACGUGUAUGCUUAGCAAAGACGCAAGUCUCACACACACACGCGCUGGCUGAUUGUAUGCUGUGUCGGUCAACAUCGAAUCCAGCUACCAUAUCAUGACGCAGCAGCGCCUCAAGGUUGCUGUAUCCUAAGUGGCCAUACCUUCGGUGCCAAAGUGCUGCACGUUCAGCUCCGAUACCAACGGCAGCACACACUGCAUCACCACCAGAAGGUAUCCUGUUGUCUUAACGCUGCGUCCACUUCAGAGCGCCAGUACCUCCACUGCUGUAGUAGACGGGAUACAAGUCCCCAUCCCGCUUUCCAGUCAGCACCAACUGAUUCUGGAUGCCACGAACGCUACCUGCCGCGGAACUCCUGGUCCCCUAGCUGAUCUACCGGAUCCUGGCUUGCUGCCGCUAGCUCCGCUGCCACUAGCUCCGCUGCCACUAGCUCCGCUGCCACUGUUGUUGUAGCCACCCUUAUAUCCAGAAUUUGACGACUGCUUCAGCGCUUUAAGCUGCCUGCAGUCCCUUACCACGUGCCCAGGCUUAUUACAGUAGUAGCAGAUGAGUUGCUUCCGACUGUGUCCCGAGCUGUUGUUAGCCGGCCCCCGGCUACCAUAACCAGAAGUAGAAGCGCCGAACGUAGAUCCGCCGACAGACGCGAAGGCUGCCGACUCGGUAGGCUUGCCCGACCCACCGUUAGCCGUCUCGAUAGAGAGAAGCUUUGCUGUGACGCUCGCCAUGUCCAAAUCGCCGUCACGCAUUAGUAAUGUAGUCGUCACCACGCUGUACCGACUGGGUAGACCAACCAGGACGGUGUACGUGUCGUUAAUUACGUGGCCGACUCCCAAUAAAUCUGUUUGCAGCUGCCUUGCACGCGCAAAGUACAUCGGAAGAGGUUCGCCGUCGACCAUCUUAAAACGGCUGAAUUCUUGACGUAGAGAAACCUUGCGGGCGUUGUUGUUGGCAGCAAACCUGGAACUAAGUUGAUGCGCCGUUGAUCCGCUAGAUUUGGUUGGAUGCUGGUGGUGAGUUGCCGAACCCAACGAAUACAUUCUGAAGUCGGAUGGGGUGACGGAUUAGGGUGCCCCUCUAGCAGGGGAGAGCAGGGACUGCCCCGGGAAAGGGGGCCGCUGGCGAAGUUAACCACCCUGUAACAACAUAGAGCCCAAGGCGUCCCAGGCCUUCUUCGCGUUGGCAGCACCGGUAACCAUUGGCAAGUGGUGAUCCUUGACGUUCUUGAUAAGCAGAUUGAUGACCUUUCGUGAUUGUCGAAUCUGCUCCUCGUUGCACGGCUCGGCGAGCAAGGAUUGCUCAAGCCCAAGCUCCAUGCACAUCGCGCUAAACCGGAUUUGCCAGGUGGAGUAGUUGUGGAGGUCCAGCGGCUCAUCAAGCUUGUCCUUGACCAUUGUUGAUUAGGGAUAGAAAUAACAAUCAGACGAUAGCUGUCGGCGCUAGGCGGGGCUCAUAACCUAUUGGAGACCAGCAGGGACGUCGUUACCAUGUUGAAGCGGCUGGGUAGACCAACCAGCACUGCGUACGCCAGCUCCGAGUCGCUGAUAACGUGCCCCACUCCCAACAAGUGUGACUGUAAUUGCCGUGCACGUGCAAAGUACUUGGGUAGCGGCUCGCCGUCGACCAUCUUGAAACGGCUGUACUCUUGACGGAGAGCUACCUUGCGUGCGUUAUUGUUGGCGACAAACAUCGCGGCCAAAGCUUCCCAUGCUUCCCAUUCGCGUUCACAGCACCCGUAACCAUCGGCAAAUCUUUAACAUUCUUGAUGAGCAGGUUGAUAACCUCACGAGAUUGUCGAAUCUGUUCCUCGUUUCCCGGCUCGGCGAGCAAGGACUGCUCAAGCCCAAGCUCCAUACACAGCGUGCUGAACCGAAUUUGCCAGGUGGCGUAGUUGUUCAAGUCUAGAGGCUCGUCAAGCUUGUCCUUCCCCAUUGUGGAAUACGAGUAUGAAGGUAGAUGCUGCUAGCGUUAGCCGGGGCUCAUAACCUGUUAAAAAUAUGAAGGAGGCAAGGAGAAUGGUCGCGAUAUAAGUAUUACAGUCGGUAGGUGAGUGGUGAACGGCAGAAAGACUUUAGGAGAUUCCUACUAAGGAAUACCGAUCCAUACAAAGAUGAGAUACCAAGACUUGCAUAACUUGUGUCUUAUAUACCAGUACCAAUGGAAGUAUCGUUCAGUCGCCCACCAUCUAUCUAUCGUACAGUCGCCACCAUCUAUCGGAUUCAUCGCCUAUCUACCACCUAUCUACGUUGGGAUAGGACCAGGAUUCCAAAGGCUGAUUUCAUUCAUGGCAUACGGUGAGCAUCCGAUGGUUUCUGGACUCAGCAUUAAUGCAUCACAUCACCCCUGACCCCUCUGAGUUAUUUAACGUGUCUUUGUGUUGCAAAUGACCGACACUCAUAUACCAGUGAAUGGUAGCCGNNNNNNNNNNNNNNNNNNNNNNNNNNNNNNNNNNNNNNNNNNNNNNNNNNNCCAUUCACUGGUAUAUGAGUGUCGGUCAUUUGCAACACAAAGAGGCACACAACACACUGGGGGUUGGAGCAGUGGGAGCACUUCAAUAUCAUGGGCAUCAAGGGUCAAGCUUUGCAUCCAAUUGCAACGGUGGUCGGCUCACUCAUUAUUCCAGCCAACAUCAACGACAAACAGGCCAUUUCUUUCAAUAAGGUCUACUUUGGUGAGGAGGCAACAGUCAAGGUCUUGUCAGUUCCACGCACCAUCAAUGUAUUGGAGAAUUGGCGACGGUGACGGCUGACGCUUGUUGUUAUUCCGGAAGGAUUGCCGGCGGCGAAGAUAUUGAACACGAUAAACUGUUACAAGUAAUAUAAGGAGUAAUAGUAUGCGUUUGGCAGGACUUUAGGAGAUUCCGUUUGAGGAAUACCGAUCGUUGUGAGAUAAAGAAAUAAGCGCAGUCACCGCCCUAAAUACCGGUGCUAGCGGAAAACUCGUACAUUCCGCGAUCUCACUGCACGUACAUUCCGCAAUCUCACUGCGCCGUCCUGACGGUGCCCAAAUGUCUAUCACUUAGCUACCGAAUAUGCAUCGGUAGCCCCAUAAAGUUCUGGGGUAAGUCUUCCCCAAUAGUCAGGCACAGACCCGGGGCCAAAUCCCCUGGUCGACAACCACACGAGUUGGGAGAGGACCGUUUCCUCAACACGCCCCCUCGGGCCGUAUCCCAACGAGUACCAAGUUCAUCAGCACGCUUCACACAAGGCCCAUCGCACCUCGGCAACGUUUGAAUUUCACCUCGCCCAGAGCUUUCGUGAGCACAUCCGCAACCAUCCACUCCGUAGGGCAGUAUUCCAACUGCACCUCACCGCUAUUCACCCUCUCACGCACUAUGUGAAGCUGUACGUCGAUGUGCUUCGACCGAGCAGACGUAAUCGGGUUAUUUCCUAAGCUAAGCGCCCCCUGGGAAUCUAUUUGAAUCUUGAUAGCGCUCUCAGGCAAACCCAAAACGACCAUCAGCCUGUGAAGCCACAAAGCUUCACGAACAGCUGCCGCUGUAGCUUGAUACUCGGCCUCCACCGACGAAGCCGCCACAGUACGUUGAAGUUGACUGCACCAGCUAAUCGCAGCCCCAUUUAGAGUAAAAACGUAUCAGGAAGUAGAAUGCCGUGUAAACGGGUCUCCUGCCCAGUCAGAAUCGCUAUACCCAGACAUCUCAAUGUCGCCAACACCCCCAAAACGCAAUCCUAGUUCGCGAGUACCCGCCAGGUAACGCAGAAUGCCGGUUGCCAAGUUCAUGGCAGUCUUUGUAAGUGUGGCCAUAUGCCGGGACAAAAGACUCCAUGCAUAAGGAAUGUCAGGGCGAGUGUUAGUCGCUAGGUAGUCCAACUUUCCCACCAAAGCCCUAUGCACCAUGGGAUCCAGCAGCUCAUCUCUAUCCCCCGUGCACCUAAAACCCGGAGCCAAAGGGGUAGACCGUGGCUUGGCGUCCACCGUCUGGUGACGCUCCAAUAGCUGCUCAAUAUUGCGACAACACUAAUUCACCCGGCUUCAUCAUCAGUAUUUCCAUGCCCGAAAACACCUGCGCUUCUCCAAGUUCUCGUACUUCUCUUACAUCUUUGCACCUAGCCAUGCAAAAAAGCGCUUGACCUUCCACUCUUUUCAACUUGUACAACCACCGGUACAUUAGGACAUCAUGAGGCUGUGCACACAGCUCACAAGUGCCGUUAGCUGCCAAUGCAGCAAUCUCCUCGACCAUCACUCUGCGCCACUCAUUUGCAUUUGCACCUGAAAUGGCUUCAGUGAAAGUAUUACUCAGCAAAAAUUCAGCAGGGUACGGAUAAGUGACAGCCACGUUAAUGCGACCUACUAUCCUCCUUCCUGCAACACCAUGCCACCACUCCGAGGGCUAUAAUAUCUCCUCAUAUUCCCUGCCCUAUUCUUCUGAACUCCUGCGCUGGCUUGCACCACUAGAUGUUCCGGCUUCAUCCGGCAUUCCUUCACCAUCCACAGGUGACAGUGGUGCCUAGCCGACUGUGAGGCCCUGACUCAGGUACACCAAUACUAGCCGCUACAAAACUUUCACGGCACUCACGCCCGCCAGUCGUCUGCAUGUGGGCCUGAGAUGCCUUCGGCAUAAAUGUUAGGCUCUGAAUCCCAGCAGAUACUGCAGCAAUGACUCGGCCUGUAGCACUACGACCAGGUACACUCCGUCACCACUCGCCAGGCCGUUUGCAUUCCCUAACUGAAUACCGAGCCCCCAGCAUUUCCACAUCAGUGUGUGUGUUUCCUUCGACAUUCACACGUCUGGGAGGUCCAGCCCCAGCCAGCGCCCCUUCGUCACCCAAAUGCGGCGAUCCCUUGCUGACGGUAUUGCCUGAUGUUGCGAAUGAACAUUCGCUGUUGAGGAAACGGUCCUCUCCCAACUCGUGUGGUUGUCGACCAGGGGAUUUGACCCCGGGUCUGCACCUGACUAAUGUGGAAGACUUACCCCAGAACUUUAUGGGGCUACCGAUGCAUAUCCGGUAGCUAAGUGAUAGACAUUAGGGCACCGUCUGGACGGCGCAGUGAGAUCGCGGAAUGUACGUGCAGUUAGAUCGCGGAAUGUACGAGUUUUCCCCUAGCGCCGGUAUUUAGGGCGGUGACUGCGCCUAUUAGUUUAUCUCACAACGAUCGGUAUUCCUACCAGGAAUCUCCUCAAGUCCUGCCGAACGCUAACAAUACUCUUUACAUUACUUGUAACAGUUUAUCGUGUUUCAUAUCUUCGCCGCCGGCAAUUCUUCCGAGAUAACAAUCAGCGUUAGCCGUCACCGUCGCCAAUUCUUCAAUAGGUUAUGAGCCCCGCCUAGCGCCGACAGCUAUCGCCCAAUUGUUAUUUCUAUCCCUCAUCGACAAUGGUUAAGGACAAGCUUGAUGAGUCGCUGGACCUCAACAACUACUCUACCUGGCAAAUUCGGUUUAGCGCGAUGUGCAUGGAGCUUGGGCUUGAGCAAUCCCUGCUCGCCGAGCCGUGCAACGAGGAGCAAAUUCGACAGUCACGGAAGGUCAUCAAUCUGCUCAUCAAGAACGUCAAGGAUCAUCAUUUGCCGAUGGUUACCGGUGCUGCCUGUUAAGACCAGCAAAGCGCCGGACCCCCGUUGGGUCCUAUUACUGUGGCUACCAUUCACUGGUAUAUGAAUGUCGGUCAUUUCCAACACCCCCCCGUGAGCGACACUCUCUCGCUACGGGCCUUCCCGUGCCUCAUCCCGGUCUCCCAUUCUCUGGGCAACAGCCAGUGGGUAUCGAUCCGGCGACCUCUCGGCAGCGCAAUGCGCCAUUCGGGGCUCAUAACCUGUUAAGACCAGCAAAGCGCCGGACCCCCGUUGGGUCCUAUUACUGUGGCUACCAUUCACUGGUAUAUGAAUGUCGGUCAUUUCCAACACUGCCAACGCGAAGAAGGCCUGGGACGCCUUGGGAUCUAUGGGAUCUAUGUCUGCUCCCGUCGCGUCCCGGCGCGUCCGGGUUCAAAUCCGCCUGCCGACCUCUCGGGGUGUUUGAGAGGUGAUGAAAUGGGAGGUGGCCCCCCAUCUUAUGGACGGUGUAGGACGUGAUAAAAUCAACUCGCGAGCUGACCAGGAACUAAGUUGACGCGCCGUUGAUCCGCUAGAUUUGGUUGGAUGCUGGUGGUGAGUUGCCAAACUCAAAGAGUACACUCUGAAGUCGGAUGGGGUGAAUGGCUUAGGGUGCCCCUCUAGCAGGGGAGAGCAGGGAACUGCCUCGGGAAGGAGGCCACUGGUGAAGCUUAACCACCCUGUAACAACAUCAACAUCAACAACGCCCGGCGGGCGGCUGGCAGAGGUUAAGGCCUGGCUUCUGCUCCCGGCGCGUUACGGCACGUCCGGGUUCAAAUCCGCCUGCCGACCUCUCGGGGUGUUUGAGAGGUGUUGAAAUGGGAGGUGGCCCCCCAUCUUAUGGACGGUGUAGGACGUGAUAAAAUCAACUCGCGAGCUGACCAGGAACUAAGAUGACGCGCCGUUGAUCCGCUAGAUUUGGUUGGAUGCUGGUGGUGAGUUGCCAAACUCAAAGAGUACACUCUGAAGUCGGAUGGGGUGAAUGGCUUAGGGUGCCCCUCUAGCAGGGGAGAGCAGGGAACUGCCUCGGGAAGGAGGCCACUGGUGAAGCUUAACCACCCUGUAACAACAUCAACAACGCCCG